Molecule: long non-coding RNA, 359 nt
Organism: Patella vulgata (common limpet)
Lineage: Eukaryota; Metazoa; Mollusca; Gastropoda; Patellidae
Exons: 3
Source: RefSeq, a predicted model, not a curated record
UACAUGCCAGGGCGGACCAUCUACAACAUGUAUUUAUGAUUAUCUAACGCUUCAGGGAGUAAGUUAUUGUGGUGGGGCACCGCCAGACCCUAUCAUAGUACCAACUGGUGAAAACACCACCGUGAGAUUCGAAACAGAUUCCUUCUUUACAUGCCUUGGUUUUAACCUGAGCAUUACCUACACAGAUGUAUAAAGCCAAGACAUCAAGAGAUGUAUACAUUUUGAGACAUCAAGAAUAAGUCGUGUUAUAGCCAUCAAUGUAAUAACUAUAUCCAAAUUAAUCUAAAUUCAUUUAAAUAACAAAACUAAAUCCAUUCUAGAAACUGACCAAUAACCUAAAUAAACAAUUCUUACUGUAA